UCCUCAAGGCACUUAGGACUGAGAGAACUCUUGAAGGACUGUCAGCCUAAGGGGCUCAGCAGCUAGAAAGUAAGCAGACUCAUUGAGGGACAGCCUGCUCCUGGAAACUCAUUGGAAGGACUUUCUCCUCCAAAUCUCAGAAGUGAUUUUUAGUCCCACUGACCCACCUAUCCCAAAGGAAAAAGGAACUCCAGAUUCAUCCUAAAUAAGAGCUAUGAUCCUUGUGUCUAUUCUCAUCUUUGUGAUGAUCUUCCUACUGGGAACAACAGAAGCACAGUCAGUGACUCAGCCUGAAGAUUCAGUCUUUGUCUCUGAAGGGUCCUCAGUGGAGCUGAAUUGUACUUAUUCCUAUUCUGGGAGCCCUUUGCUUUUCUGGUAUGUGUGGUAUCCCAACCAAGGUCCUCAAGUCCUCCUGAGACACACUUCAGAGGAAAGCAACAAUGGCUUUCAGGCUAAAAUCAACAAGGCUGAAAGCUCCUACCAUCUGAAGAAACGCCAUGUCCAAGAGAAAGACUCAGCUAUGUACUUCUGUGUUCUGACAGACACAGUGAGAGGGCCCACAAGGGGAGCUGAACAAAAAUCUUCAAAGACAGUCUUUAAAAUGUUCUUCUAG
Molecule: non-coding RNA, 613 nt
Organism: Sarcophilus harrisii (Tasmanian devil)
Lineage: Eukaryota; Metazoa; Chordata; Mammalia; Dasyuromorphia; Dasyuridae
Source: the annotation of a RefSeq genome assembly